RNAcentral lists this ribosomal RNA (253 nucleotides) under uncultured bacterium. RNAcentral's name for it is "partial 16S ribosomal RNA". It matches the Rfam family "Bacterial small subunit ribosomal RNA", at positions 524 to 776 of the family's 1533-position model. The record is from RNAcentral.
UACAGAGGGGGCAAGCGUUGUUCGGAAUUACUGGGCGUAAAGGGCGCGUAGGCGGCCGCCUAAGUCAGACGUGAAAUCCCUCGGCUCAACCGGGGAACUGCGUCUGAUACCGGGUGGCUUGAAUCCGGGAGAGGGAUGCGGAAUUCCAGGUGUAGCGGUGAAAUGCGUAGAUAUCUGGAGGAACACCGGUGGCGAAGGCGGCAUCCUGGACCGGCAUUGACGCUGAGGCGCGAAAGCCAGGGGAGCAAACGGG